CCCUUAGAUGUCCUGGGCCGCACGCGCGCUACACUGAUGCAUUCAACGAGUAUUUCCUUGGCCGAGAGGCCUGGGCAAUCUUUUAAACCUGCAUCGUGAUAGGGAUAGAUUAUUGCAAUUAUUAAUCUUGAACGAGGAAUUCCUAGUAAACGCAAAUCAUCAAUUUGCAUUGAUUACGUCCCUGCCCUUUGUACACACCGCCCGUCGCUCCUACCGAUUGAGUGGUCCGGUGAGGCUUUGGGAUCUGAGCGGAAAGAGCGUUUCGCUGUUUCUGCUCGGAAAACUCAGUCGAACCUUAUCAUUUAGAGGAAGGAGAAGUCGUAACA
RNAcentral lists this ribosomal RNA (326 nucleotides) under uncultured eukaryote. Its description in RNAcentral is "partial 18S ribosomal RNA". It matches the Rfam family "Eukaryotic small subunit ribosomal RNA", at positions 1470 to 1796 of the family's 1831-position model. The record is from RNAcentral.